RNAcentral lists this transfer RNA (71 nucleotides) under Enterobacteriaceae endosymbiont of Donacia thalassina. RNAcentral's name for it is "tRNA-Gly". It matches the Rfam family "tRNA". From Rfam's summary of the family: Transfer RNA (tRNA) molecules are approximately 80 nucleotides in length. Their secondary structure includes four short double-helical elements and three loops (D, anti-codon, and T loops). Lineage: Bacteria; Pseudomonadati; Pseudomonadota; Gammaproteobacteria; Enterobacterales; Enterobacteriaceae. The record is from RNAcentral.
GCAGACAUCGUAUAAUGGUAUUACUUCAGCCUUCCAAGCUGAUAACACGGGUUCGAUUCCCGUUGUCUGCU